AUUCCAGCUCCAAUAGCGUAUAUUAAAGUUGUUGCGGUUAAAAAGCUCGUAGUUGGAUUUCUGCCGAGGACGACCGGUCCGCCCUCUGGGUGAGUAUCUGGCUCGGCCUGGGCAUCUUCUUGGAGAACGUAUCUGCACUUGACUGUGUGGUGCGGUAUCCAGGACUUUUACUUUGAGGAAAUUAGAGUGUUUCAAGCAGGCUUACGCCUUGAAUACAUUAGCAUGGAAUAAUAAGAUAGGACCUCGGUUCUAUUUUGAUGGUUUACGGACCGAUGUAAUGAUUAAUAGGGACAGUUGGGGACAUUCAUAUUGCAUGGCUAGAGGUGAAAUUCUUGGAUUCAUGCAAGAUGAACUACUGCGAAAGCAUUUGUCAAAGAUGUUUUCAUUA
RNAcentral lists this ribosomal RNA (388 nucleotides) under Dinophyceae sp. RNAcentral describes it as "partial small subunit ribosomal RNA". It matches the Rfam family "Eukaryotic small subunit ribosomal RNA", at positions 582 to 975 of the family's 1831-position model. Lineage: Eukaryota; Dinophyceae. The record is from RNAcentral.